UGUGCUGAACUCCAGUUCUGGGUGAGUUUCUGGGAAACCAGACUCAUUCGGGGAGAAACUGGACUGUCUGGCAGC
Non-coding RNA from Eptesicus fuscus (big brown bat), 75 nucleotides. Lineage: Eukaryota; Metazoa; Chordata; Mammalia; Chiroptera; Vespertilionidae. The record is from Rfam.